UGCAAUGGGCAGAAAGCUAUUCCCCAGUAGGACCGAAGCUAUGAAGGAGGCCAUUUUGGAAGUAGGAGGCAAGCUCUGAGCCAAUAGACCUGACGCUAUCAAGGUAGCCAUCUUGGAAGUGGGAAAAAAAAGAAAAGAAGUGGAGAGAGCCCUGUCCUGGGUGCCAAACACUCAGGAAUCCCUCCUGUGGGGAAUUUCUUUUGGAGGACAGGGGAAGACGGGUUAAUUGGUUGACCCACAGUACUAGUGGGUUAUGUAAUGUACUACAGUCACCUGAACUGCAGCAGCGUAAGGGACAAGCUGCACCUGCUUACAGCUUGGACUCCCCAGGUGGUCCAGUCACAGGCCAAAAAGCCCUUUAACUGGGGUCCAGCACUUCCCCCAGUUCAGUCUUUGUUCCUCAGGUGUUUCCAGGAGUCUGCUGGUGUGGGGAGUGAAGAACACCAGAUGAUGUCACACCCCGCCUUAUAAAGCUUUUGCAUACGGUGGGAACCCUUUGUUUCUAAGCUUGGUUCCCAGCCUCAUCUGUGGAAAAACACUGACAUCCCAGGAUGGAGUCUAGAGACAUGCGGUCUCAUCAUAUGUCCUUGCAGAGUCAAAUCAGCCAUUACUGGAGGCUGUUUGUAACAUUCUCAGGACGGCUCCCCAGGGUCAACAGAGGGAUGAUGCACUGAACGGGCUUCAGAGAAUGAAUGUGCUGGCAGAGGAACUGGCCAUGCAUGAAAGAGGCUUGCAGUUGUAAUGGAGAGAUUUUCUGGCUACACUACAAAUCUGAACCUUCAAGACAUUAGGCUUCUGUUUCUCCCUGAACACCACAAAUCUGUAUAACCAUCUAACCAAACAGCACCUCCACCAGCCAAGCAGAUAUGUGACACUGAGAGAGAGGGACUGACAGUGAUGAAACAAUGACAGUGCUAUCCAGCCUGGUCCACAUGUCACAUCUGGAUUUGGUUCAUAUGGCAGCUCAAGAAACUCACUACAAGAUUCUGCCCAGGAGUUUGCCCUAUUUUCAUCUAAACCCCACUACAGGAUUUGAACCUCCAUUUCCAGGCAGCAUUAGGCUGGUAAAUGAGACACUUAGACCACUAAGCCAAACCCCACCGCAGCUAAGGGAAAUACCAGCUAAUUUCAACCAAUAGAACCUUAUUUAUCUAACCUGCUCCUUUGGGUUAUAUCAAACCUUAGCAUUUACAGGCAUGUGAGGGUGUCUCCAGGUAUUUUUGGCUAACCAGGAUUGUAGUGUAUCACCUUACUGUCCUGAAUAACAAGGAAGGGAGCUGCCUGAUGUGGAACACACAAGAGGAAUCCAGGGUCAAAAUCUUCAGCCAGCUGUGAACUAAUUCAUCCAUCUUUUUUCAUGCAGAAAAGCUCAGCUCAGGUUCAGCACAUGGUUAAUGUUCCUGCUUUGUUACCAAUGUUCUGUGUUAAAUUAAAGCACAAAGUCAGGUUUUUUGAUCAAGGUCAGACAUUGCCUUACUCAGGAACAGAAAUACAGCCCGCUCCUUGUUUCCAAGUUUGCUCUAACUGCUAGAAAGCAUCAGCUCCUAGGGCAAUGGAGAAGAGGAGCAUAUAUGGGAUCUUCUGGCUUUCCAGUGAAACCCAUGGCAGCAUGUCAAGGCUGAAGAGAAUUCCUGAGAUGUGUGAAGAGCUGGCUGGUAAUGCCAGUUCAUGUUCCUUUUUCAUCCCUGUCCCGAUUCUGUGAGCCCUGCUUGCAGACAUCAAGUGAAACUGACAGAUUUUUCUGUCUUUUAACAACAAUGCUUAUUUCUGAUUCUCUGUGUUCUGAGGGUAAAGUGAAUGAUUGGAUGGAAAACAACCAAAAAACCUUCACCGUGAAGUACUGAAUGUCUCAAGCUUUGGAAAUACAAUCAGGACUUGCAUUUUAUUUAUUUGGUUAAAUGUGCAGUCUUAAAAUGUUACGCCCAUUAUGAUGGUGUCCUCUCUCCCUUCCCCUACAUUCUUCAGACCAUCUUGCUUUGCUGUGGGAAGGCGGGCAGGCUUUUGGAAUUUGUUCUGGGCUUGUUAUGCAAAAAAAAAUCCACUCCAACAUUUAAAUAAAUAUUAAAGCCCUGAUCCAGAAUCCAUUUAAGUCAAUUAAAGACUUUGAUUCCGGCCCCAAAUGCUUCAUUUUUAUUUACCUCUCUCCAGGAACGAAGCCAGAGUUGUUGUUGUCGUCCCCUCCCGCCCCACCCCCCGCAACAUGCAUGUUUUAGAUUUAGCGGCCUUUAAAUUAAUGUCUCAAAGAUACAUAUAAACUACUGGAUUUUGAUCCCCAACUUCA
This is a long non-coding RNA of Gopherus flavomarginatus (Mexican gopher tortoise), 2281 nucleotides long. RefSeq lists it as uncharacterized. The transcript is spliced from 3 exons. The record is from RefSeq and is a predicted model, not a curated record. Lineage: Eukaryota; Metazoa; Chordata; Testudines; Testudinidae.